Long non-coding RNA from Oxyura jamaicensis (ruddy duck), 5863 nucleotides. RefSeq lists it as uncharacterized. The transcript has 5 exons. The record is from RefSeq and is a predicted model, not a curated record. Lineage: Eukaryota; Metazoa; Chordata; Aves; Anseriformes; Anatidae.
GGAAGAACAAGUUAUAGGAGAAAUGUAACUUGGUUUAAAGAGAAAAAAAAAAGGAAAGAAAAACAUCUGAGGCUAAGGUUUUCUAUAGGCUAACAGGUUACUUGGGUCAGUGAUGCCUGUAGGACAGUGAUUGAGAUGCUGCUCAAAUAUAUUUGGAAGCUCUGAUGAAAUGAUUUAAGCAAUAGCAUCACCCAUCUGAGAUCACUGGUUUUGCUGAUUCCUUCUGCUUGAAAGUGGUAUCACUACAGUUAGGAGGGACCAACAGUACCUUAUCUCCAAGUGAAGAGUGACACAGUGAUUUAAUUCUUGAGCAGCACAGACUGCAAAAGGAGGCAAAGACCUGCAAUGGCUGUCCAUCUCCACCUGCUGAACAGGUGCAUCAGGCAAAGGUCAGAACAACUCCUGUUAAGCAUUACCAAGAAAUAUACUUAGAUGUGGGAAUUUUGGAAAGGAACUUGUGAUGUACACUUUGGACUGAAAUCAAAUCUUGAAAUAGUGAUGUGUCAGGCAAAGCAGAAACCUUACGCUCUGAGUGCAAUUGUAAAACUUUCUGCUGCAGCUUCUAAUCAGGUGAGAAAACUAAAAUUGAUGGAAAUCCUGCCUGUGGAGUUUUAGCCUUGGGAAGUGAGAUAUGAACAACAACAACAACAAAAAAAAAAAACAACAAAAAAAGAUGAAUCAAUGCCAAGAAAACACAAAAUGAUCCCAAGAACUGUUUCUAAAGAAAAACUGCAUUAAAAUAUUAAUGAUGGAGUAAAACAAAUGGCUCAAAAGGUGUAAUACAAUACUGCAUGCAAGAAGGACUUAGCAUAAUUUUACAGACAAACAAACAAAAAAAAAAGAAUCUGAAUGUUGAAGUUUGGUAAGUUUAAGAGCAUGAAGAAGCAGAAACACCAGGGCGAUUAAGAAUCCAGCCAGGUGGGACAGAUCUUUUUCUGAGGCUAAGUUGCUGAGUUUCAGACAAAUGGAAGUACUGUUGCCCCUCUGGUGGUGACCCUGAUACAAGAAGUGGUGCUACCAGUUAAUGCUGUUUUUCCCUGACUCUAUGCUAUUACCCAGUCUAUGCAGUAUUGAAAACACAGUGAGUGAAAGCACUUAACUGAGCAACACCUUCCUAGGAAGACUAGAUGCAGCCCUUGGCCUUGGUUGUGUAGUCAGUGGUUGUCUAAACCCCACUGGUCUUGUUCCAUGGCCACUUGUAGCUGUGCAGGAGAAAAGUUUGUGCCGCCUACUGUCCGCUGCAUAUGAUUUUUUCUUUUGUGUCCCCUUCCCCAUCAUCCAGCUGGGGUUGUAAACCUAUGUAGCAAUCCACACAAUCCAUUACUCCAUUGGUGUUAGGACAUGCCCUUGGGCAUUUCUGUGCUCAGUCCCUACUUGCCCACAAUAUUAGGAAUUGUCCCAGGUUAUGCAGCUCCAGUCCGACAGCGUUGUUAUCUGUGGCUUGGGGUCUGCACCACGAAGUGUACAGCAUUAGCAUCUGCUCCGUGUUACUUUGUAUGUGCUGUCCUUAGGUGGCAGUCUUAGUUGCAGUCUGUCUCAGCAGAAGCUUGAUUUUCUGGUGUCUUUACAGGAAAAAGGGCAUGAAUCAGGUGGAAGUGUUUUGGAAAGUGAUGCUCACAGAGCUGUAUUCCAGUAUAAAUUACAAUCAGCAAUAAUUAUAUGCUUAAGAAAUUUAUAAACAUCAUAUCCCGCAACCUGCUAUUCUCCUCUGCUCCAAAAAAAAGAAACAACACAAAAUCUAUUCCCCUGAUCAAGAAGGUCUUUGUCUCUUUUGAAUCUUCUGAAGAAGGUUAGAAGAGUCCCAGAGGCAUUUGAAAUUAACCACCAUAUCGAGAUGAGCUGCAUUUCCAACCACUCGUUUCAACUACUGUAGCAAAAACCACCACCACCAACAAAACAUUAAAAAAACCUUCCCUGUCCUGGGACAGAAAUGCUCUUCUGCAGUAAAUUCAAUCAAUUGUCAACAGACAAAUGACCUGAUAAAUCAAAGCAACCUGUGGAGGUUCCAGUGUGGAAAUUGCAAGGAGAUCUAUCAGUGGCAAAAGUUGUUUUACUGUGAGAUUCAAUGUUGCCUCUGGCUGCUUGGGAGGAGUUGAUGUGUGGACUCAAACCCUCGUUCUCCCCAUGACUCGCAUGUUUCUCUCUUAAAUGUGGGGCUGGCCCAAAGACUCCUACACCAUGGGAUGAUUUGCAAUGAAAGAAGUGCACUGAACUCUGUUUCAAAGCAACUACAGGAAAUUGGUCAAUGCAGUCUGUAUGCUAAGUGAUUAUUUGUGUAAUUGAAGUGCAAAUUAAGAAAAUCAUAAGUAAAGGUAAGUUCUUAAAGCAUGAGGAGGAUAAUGCAAGAGGCAAAAUGUGCAUCUGCAAAAGCUAUUCCACUCGUGUGUAUAAAUCAGGAGACUAUGUGCUCAAGUAGAGAAUUAGGCUGAGUUGCCUGCUGUUACACAUUUAAAUUAAGCAGGAGCCUAAUAGCUUUUUAAAAAUCCAGCCGUAAGUGUUUUUUCUCAGGGAAGAGAUCAUCUAAUCAAAAUAGUGCUUUAGAAGAAAGAACACUAAUACUGAACAUGAGCAAGGAGCUCUAACUGCUGAUAAAAACUCCACUGCCAGGAUAAGAUUUGUUACAGUUGGUAAAAGGCUAAAGUGGCUCUUUGCAGCCAAGCUGCUGGUGGAGAUGGGAGCAGGGGAAAUGAAACGAUGCCACAACACUAACAAAAUGAAUGGCAUCUCUGUGCUUGGGGUGGGCGCUGAUGGAAGGGCUGGUUUAUGUUUACUCACUUUCUUUGCUUUAUAUUCUGCUGCUGCUGAGCUGUGCUGGGGUUUUUACAGCAGUAAGCUCCUGGAUGUCAGCUCAGCAGUGUUCAGUCACAAGAUUUCUUCCUGUGAAUGUUUCAUUUCCACGUGAGAUACAGGAUUCUACAGAAUUCCUCUACUUGGAUCUUUUGAACUGAGCUCUAAAACAGGCUGGAGAAAUUUCAUAUAAAGUUUUGACCUAAUUCCUUGUCGACAUGAAAAGAUGCAGUGGUGCUGAAAUCAGCUGCUGCGAGGCGGUGUCAGGAAAGCAGCCUUUCCCCGACCCGAGGAGCCGAGGCCAUGCUCAAAGCGCCACACUACGGCUCGGGACGCUCGGCUCCAUCAGCUCCCUGCGGCUCCAGCAGUUUGUUUCUCUACCUGCAACAGAUUAUUUUGCCUCUUUAUCAAAACGUCUCUAUCUAAAUAGAGAAUGUCUGUGUGAGCUCAACACAAUUGCAUGUGUGCAAAGGAUUUUUGGUACAAAGCAGCUGUGUCUUUCACCUACCAUAGUUGUGCUUAGCGAAUACCUGGGAACUGGAGUGAAAUACAAGCACUUAUCCUGCAGAGAUCAGUUGCUGGGAGGGAUUUGAAAAGCACGUUCAGUCUAAUUGCAUUGCUGCCUUUCAGAGCUUUACAGAAUAGCUAAGCUCGCUUUGGGUAUCAGGAGACGAGGUGAGGGGUUUUAGAUCUGCUGUUAGAAGGCGACCUGAAGGUGCCUUCGCUGUCUCUGGGAAGGACUUCACCUGACUCUUGGGGCUUGGUGUUACUGUCUGCUGCAGCUGGAAAUCCCUGGCAGGUGGAGAGGCAAAGGAUAGAGGGGAGGCCUGCAGCAAAGGCCCCUUCUUCUUCUCCUGCACUCAGGAGAAGCAGGAAGCUAACAGGGCCAGCUUUCGUUCCUGUCCUGCUGCUCUGACUCUUCUGAUGCCGACUGGGAGUGCUGGGCCAUGCUGGAAAGCAGGGGGCUGCAAUGGGCAGUGGGUGGGAGACAGGCCCAGGAGGCAAAACGUGUUAGUGAGGAAGGACGGAGCCUCCCAGCAGGGAGACAGUUGUGUCCAAACCUGGCAGGAGGUUCUGACUUGGUUCUAGCAGCACACUGCAUAUGUUUUAAUUUUUUUUCACUUCUUGGUUUGUUUUUGUAAAAUGCUCUAAUCCACUGAAGUUAAAAACUUCCCAUGUAAACGUCUACAUCUGCUUUAUUGGAGACGGGAUUUGAACUGUCUGGGAGCUCACUGGGGAUAGGCAAGAGAGGUUUAAUCUGUUUGAAUUAUUACCGGGCAGCUCUUUCAGGAAGAACCUGAAUGUGCUAUUUGUUCUUAUUCUUCAAGGACUUAAACAAACCUCAUUUCUUUGGAAUCUAAGUACCCGAUGUGUGCUGUGUAGGGGGCAGGCAGGGACCAGUGGGUUGAGGUCCUUCAGAAAGAAGACACAGCUAUUUAGGACGAUCCAGUUUCCUCUUCGUUAAGAAACUAUAUCGUGUUUACAGCAACAGCUUUACCACUGCUCAUCCUUCCCUGAGCCUACAGAACUACAAGAGAUGUGUUUGUUUGGGAUGGACAAUGAUGAAACAGAGUAAGGAAUCGAAGACCUUUUCUAACAGUUUAAAUUGUAAUGAGAACUUUAUUAGGGGGAAGACGUGCAAAGCCCCACUUACGGGAAGAAGAUGACCAGCAGAUCUUUAUAGAGCUGAGAAACGUUUGGGUUUAUAUUUGAGUCCAAAGAAGUUUCUGAUCGCUUCUGUUUGCAACAUCUGCUCCAGCUUGUUGCUGUAGGAAACGCUGAAAGGUCAGCACAGCACUGGGCUGUGGGAGUGGUGGGGCUCGCGAGUCCUCAGACAAGGAGGUGCCUAAAUUUGCAUCAUUAGGUUGCAACAAGAGGAUGCUUUCCUGACAUUACUAAUCCUGAGCAUCUUUUGGGGGUGUUCAGUAUGUGAACUGUAGUGGCUUUUAAUAUUCGAAGUAGUAUUUAGCAUCUAAAGACGGAAGAAUUCUAUGGCUAGGCUCUGUGCUGGCAGAGGCAGCACCACCACGAGCUCCAGUCCUGUCUGCAGCCUUUGCCUCACUGAAUGUCGCAGGGAAAACUUUUAUUCCAGCUCCUGGCACAGUGCUGUGCAUACCGGGAGCCUUGGGACAGGUAAAGGGAGCCCUCUGCACCCUGCUGCUGCAGCACGCACCUGCAUGGGUGCUGCUGCUCCCUGUUCAGUCCUUCGGUGUUAACAGCUCAUCCUUUGUAUGAUGAGUUCAAAGCCUGCUAAUCUUGCAUCAGUUGCAGUCUUGUCUAAAUUCUGUUUUUCACAACCAUUACACUAGAAAUAAAAGGAUUAAUCAAACGCCAGAUUACUAGAGCUUACCACCAGUCAAAGUUUGGUUAAUCACUGCUCGCUUAACCAGAGCACGGAACUGCGCUCUGCACUUCUCCCCCGCUCUUGUCACUGGCAUCCUGUGUAAUGUGGAGCUCUGGUUUUGACAGAUGCAGAAGAAAUUGCAUUGCUUUUUGUCUUUUAACAGGUGUGUUUCUGUUGGGGUUCUAGAUAUCCCGUAGAGAUCCUCCCCAAGCUUGUAUACCCAAAAGGCAAGAUCUGAACGGCAAAGUGUAUCUGUAGAAAUUUGAUUGCAGAGAGUUACGGAAUUAUUAUUAUUUGUAAGGUUUACUAAGUACUGCAGAGAAGUAGUAAAUAAGUCAAAGCAGAAGGAUAAGCUGCACUAUUUAACAACCCAUUUAUUGUAUUUGACUAAUUAGAACAUAAAGCCAUUUCAGCAGUAAGCUGAAGUUGCUUCGUGUAGCAUAAAUGCAUUUACUUCAGCAGAACAUCAUAAAAAUCCUAGACCUUUAAUGCCAUUUCGAGGGUGUGAAUUAAACAAAAACAGACACAGAACCUCUUUUAGAUGAACCAGUUUCCAAACUCUUGAGCUUUCCAUCUGCACUCUGUGAAAUAGUCUUGCUGAAAUAGCUGCUGAGGACAGGAUUGCUGCAACACUUCCCUAGUAUUAAGCAGAACUUGGAGGAAAUCCUGUUACAUCCUUUUGACAGCAUCACCAGAGAAGAAAAUAAACACAAGUCCCUUUGUUUUGUUUUG